This 481-nucleotide ribosomal RNA is filed under the name uncultured bacterium. Its description in RNAcentral is "partial 16S ribosomal RNA". It matches the Rfam family "Bacterial small subunit ribosomal RNA", at positions 28 to 507 of the family's 1533-position model. The record is from RNAcentral.
GAUGAACGCUGGCGGCGUGCUUAACACAUGCAAGUCGAACGAAGCACUUUAUUUGAUUUCCUUCGGGACUGAUUAUUUUGUGACUGGGUGGCGGACGGGUGAGUAACGCGUGGGUAACCUGCCUUGUACAGGGGGAUAACAGUUGGAAACGGCUGCUAAUACCGCAUAAGCGCACAGCAUCGCAUGAUGCAGUGUGAAAAACUCCGGUGGUAUAAGAUGGACCCGCGUUGGAUUAGCUAGUUGGUGAGGUAACGGCCCACCAAGGCGACGAUCCAUAGCCGACCUGAGAGGGUGACCGGCCACAUUGGGACUGAGACACGGCCCAAACUCCUACGGGAGGCAGCAGUGGGGAAUAUUGCACAAUGGGCGAAAGCCUGAUGCAGCGACGCCGCGUGAGCGAAGAAGUAUUUCGGUAUGUAAAGCUCUAUCAGCAGGGAAGAUAAUGACGGUACCUGACGAAGAAGCACCGGCUAAAUACGUG